UGUGAAGAAAAAAGUGGUGAAGUGCCGUAUUAGAUUAAUGGGGUACUUGAGCCUGAAGAAACUGAUAAGAGGAACAGGUUGAAGAGAUGUGGGAAUGUGGAAUAUCUACACGCGUCUUUGUUAAAAUAAUUGGUUACAAAAGCCACUGUCCCAUUUUCCUAAAGCUUAUUAUUGCUUUCCAGCUGGGUCAACUUCCUCCGCCAUUCUUGACUACUCCGUCACACUUACAACUCGAUUACUUUCGGUGAAAGGAGCCAGGAAACUGCUUUGCACUUGGCCAAACCGAGAGGACUAAUAUAUAUAACAAGAGAUAUAGUCCUUGACAGCAACAGUACCAUCCCAAAUUAUUUCAAUUCAGCCUCCUCACUCAUCCUCCUGCAAUCAAACAACAUGGAUCUGAGCCUCGGAGCCUCUUCCUUUUCUUCUUCUUCUUCUUCUUCCACCCAUUCAUUCACACAUGAUGUCUUUCUGAGCUUCAGAGGUGCGGAUACGCGCAACAAUUUCACUGGCCAUUUGUACAGUAAUUUGGAUAACAAGGGAAUUAAGACCUUCAUAGAUAAUGACCUUACAAGAGGAGAAGAUAUAACAGAGGGGCUUCUCGAAGUAAUUGAAGGAUCAAGGAUUUCCAUUGUUGUAUUUUCUGCAAAAUAUGCAUCUUCAAAGUGGUGCUUGGAUGAACUUGUCAAGAUCUUUCAAUGUAAAGAAUCCAAGCAACAAAUCGUUUACCCAAUUUUCUACAAGGUAGAUCCGUCGGAGAUACGAUACCAGAAGGGCCAGGUUGGUGAUGGAAUUGCUCACCUCAGCAAGUACGAGGAUAACUUAACGAAGGUGGGGAGUUGGAAGGCAGCCCUUACACAAGCAGCAACUUUGUCUGGGUGGCACAUCUCGGAUGGAGGGCAUGAAGCGAAUGUUAUUGAUGAAAUUGUUAAAGUGAUAUCAACCCAAAUAAUGAAAUGCACCCUUUUAGAUGUGGCAACACAUCCUGUUGGAAUAGAAUCUCGUGUAGAAGACAUACUUAAGCUCUUAAAUGUAGACCAAGGCGAUCCUCACAUGGUAGGGAUAUGGGGAAUUGGCGGAAUAGGAAAAACAACACUUGCAAAAGCUGUUUACAAUUCAAUUAGCCAUAAGUUUGAACAUAGCUGUUUCUUGAAAAUUGUUAAAGAAAAAUCACAUGGAGGUCUUGUUGAGCUACAAAAAAAUUUUCUUUCUAAGAUUAUAGAGAGGAAUCCACCUAUUGUGACCAAUGUUGAUGAAGGAAUCACUAUGCUGAAGAAAAGCCUAAGACAGAAAAGGGUUCUCUUAGUUCUUGAUGAUGUGGACAGCUUGGAUCAAUUAAAAAAACUUGCUGGAAGGUGUGAUUGGUUUGGUCCAAGAAGCAGAAUUAUCAUAACAACAAGAGAUACGAAUUGCCUAAGUGCCCAUGAAGUCAAUUCAAUAUAUGAGGUCAAGGAAUUAAAUCAUCAAGAAGCUUCAAAGCUCUUCAAUUUCAAUGCCUUCAAAAGAAAUAUAUGUCUGGAUGACUUCUUUGAACUUGCAAAUGAGGUAAUACGUUAUGCUAAAGGGAUUCCGUUAGUUUUGGAAGUUCUAGGGGCAGAUCUAUGUAGUAAAGAGGAUAAGGAUGAGUGGAAAGAGGCAUUAGAGUAUUACAUGAGAUAUCCUAACCAAGAGAUUCAAAAAACUCUCCAAAGAAGUUACGAGGCAUUGCCUGAUCGGAUAAAAGAAGUUUUUCUUCAUAUUGCAUGUUUCUUUAAAGGUGACAAACAAAGCUAUGUGAUACAUGCACUACAAAGCUGUGACUUGUAUCCCAAAAUUGCUCUCAAAGUCCUCGUAGAAAAGGCCUUAAUAAAAAUUGAGAAAGACGAUAGCAUUUGGAUGCAUGACCAUUUAGAAGACAUGGGAAAAGAAAUUGUUCGGCAAGAGUUUCCUGAUGAGAAAGAAAAACGCAGUAGACUGUGGCUAUAUGAGGAUGUUUGCGAGAUUCUUGAGGAAAACAAAGGAACGGAUAAAAUUAAAGGCAUCGUGGUAAGAGGUUUUUAUUCACAAAAGAUAUGCUUAAACGGCGGAAGCUUCACAAACUUGAAAAAUCUUCAAAUUUUUAUAGUCCGUAGAGGGAUGCUUUAUGGAGAGGGCGUGGAUUAUCUCCCCAACCACUUGAGGGUCCUUCACUUGAUUUCAUUACAAUCGUUGCAACUAGUCGAGGGAUUGAAUUUGAAGGAUAUGCGAUAUUUGAAAUCUAUCAAAUUGUCGUACUCUUAUGGUUUAACAAGAAUUCCCGACUUGUCUGGUUUAACAAGCUUGGAGUAUUUGGAUCUGUCUUAUUGUAAUAGUUUAGUUGAAGUUCAUCCUUCGGUUGGCCGUCUCAAUAAGCUCGUCAAUUUGAAACUCACUCAUUGUGAAAACCUGCAGAUGUUUCCAGAGAGGAUCAACUUGAAAUCUUUGGAAACUCUGGAUCUCUCUUAUUGCCGUUAUCUUAAGUUCUUCCCUGACAUCGAGGGAGACAUGAAGUCUUUGAAUCGCCUGGAUCUAAGUAGGACUAACAUCAAAGAGUUACCUUGCUCAGUUGGAAACUUCACUGGCCUUAAAUCCUUGUCUCUAUCUCACUGUCGUAAUCUUACAAAUGUACCAUCGAGCAUCUUCUAUGGAUUGCAACGUCUGGAGGAUCUAGAUCUACGCGAAUGCUCUAACCUUGUUACAUUUCCAGCAAAGUCAGAAUCACUUCCUCCACCGGUCUUUUCAACUACCCUGACGAGAUUACAAGUUGAUUUGAGCUAUUGCGAGCGGCUUGAAGAAAUUUCAGAAUUUCCACGAGAAAUAGCUUGUCGGUUGGAAGGUUGUUGGUCGUUGGAAAGAAUCUCAUACUUGUCAAAAAUUUUGGAGAGUAAAGAUUCAAAAAUGUUCGGUCGGUGGGACUUGACUAGUUGUUGGAGACUCUGCGACAAUCUGGCUCGUGGAGUAGUAUUUCAUCUGGCCAAGAAGAGAAAGAUGACAUCAUCACCGUUUGCGGGAACCAAGGAAUUGAUGGGAGAGGCUGAUGAAUUGGCGGCUCUUUUGACUCUUUUUUUCUCUCGUGCGAAAUCUGAAGAAUUCCACGUAAAAUUUCCCGGAAGUUGUCGGAUUCAGUUUCCAAACUGGUUCACCUGCCGCCGUCUGUAUAGGGAAUUAAUAACUAAACAGCUUGGAUUUUGCAUUGAAAUUCCUCAAAACUCCAAUUGGUACAGCAAAGGGUUGGCUUUCUGUACUCAAUCGAGGUUUCCUGGGGUCCCUUAUUCUGUUUACAUCAAUGGAGUAAAGUUUGUUGAAAUAAGUGGGAGGUUGAGCCAGAUUGUGUGCGUGCAUUAUAUUCCAUUGGUUACAGUAAUAAGGAGGUUGAGUGAGUGUGGGAUGCCGCCACCUGAUAUGUUUCGAGUUAUGUUUCGUUUUGGAAAUAAUUCUAAUGGAAUUGGAAUGCCUUUCGAGGAAAGCUGGGGAGUCCACCUGAUCGAAGAUUUGGAAGAAGAAAGCCGAUAAUAGUCCAGCUGACUUCCAGUAGGUUCAUUAUCUUUUUCUUUUUGUGUGUUUUCAGGCUUCUUUUAUAGCCUACUAUCAUUCUCAAAAUCAAAAUGCUAUUUGAAUCAGAAAACGCAUUCUGUUGUCCAAGUAUAUGCUCAUUCUGCUGCCACUGAGUAUGACAUUGACACACCCGAGUUACUAAACACUUACCUCCGAAGAACUACUCCUUUGAAAACAUGAUGCUCGAUCAUCAUCAUACAAUGUUAAGAGCAAGUGGAUUAUGUACUUCAUUAGCAAGCAAGGUUGGACCUACCAUGGAUUUCAUUCAUUUUUGCCAUGCCUAGUCAAACACACCUCAAGAGGGUUUGGGUCUCUUGCAGCUUUGGUGGCAUAGUGAAUCCCGGUCCUCUUCUCCAGUCAAUUGUCACUAUCCCAUUAGCGAGUGUAAUGGAUUCUGUUUCACAAGGUUACUUCCAAUGUUGUCCACACCUUCUGGGUUCUAAUGUCUACCUAAAAUUAGUUCAGCACUCUUUUCGCUUGUUUUCAUUUUCUUUUAGUAUAGGCAGUAAUGUUUGUGAGUUAGUUUACCUUUGUUACUGUGAAGUUCUUGAUGAAUAAUCUGAUUAAGAUGAAAGGAGAACAGCAUUUGGGCCUCUUAAGAAGAAGGCAAUACAUGCUUGUUGCAAGUUUGGGUCAUCCUUGAAAAAAAGGUUCAAGGGUUAGAGUAAUGUCUGCCCAGAUUGAGGAGGACACUGAUGCAGAAGAGUUGCAGGCGGGUGGAAGCAUUUCACCAAGAGCUUAUAUUGGAACAACAUGGUGAUUGAUCAACAUAUAUAAGAUGCUGAGCUGGUACAGAUUUUUAAGGGCCCAGCAAGUGCGGGAUGAUAUGCUCAACUUGAGGAAGGAAUUUUUUUGUUCAACUGUGGUACAGAUUUUUGCUUCCAUUGGAGCUUUUAGUGGAGACAGUCUCGUUUGACUACUUUUAAACUUCUUUCUUUGUUUAUUUUGUAGACAGACUGAUCUAAUCAGUGGGAUGCCAAACUGCUCGAGAUUUAA
RNA transcript from Rosa rugosa (rugosa rose), 4545 nucleotides. It is a transcript of the gene named disease resistance protein RUN1-like, with no coding region annotated. The transcript is spliced from 7 exons. NCBI's taxonomy places the organism in Eukaryota, Viridiplantae, Streptophyta, Magnoliopsida, Rosales, Rosaceae. The record is from RefSeq and is a predicted model, not a curated record.